RNAcentral lists this transfer RNA (72 nucleotides) under Rattus norvegicus (Norway rat). It matches the Rfam family "tRNA". From Rfam's summary of the family: Transfer RNA (tRNA) molecules are approximately 80 nucleotides in length. Lineage: Eukaryota; Metazoa; Chordata; Mammalia; Rodentia; Muridae. The record is from Rfam by way of RNAcentral.
GCGGAUGUGGCUCAGGUGGUGGAAGCGCUGGCCUCGCGUGCCAGAAGGCUGGGUUUGAUCCCUAGCACCGCA